CCUACGGGAGGCAGCAGUGAGGAAUAUUGGUCAAUGGACGAGAGUCUGAACCAGCCAAGUAGCGUGAAGGAUGACUGCCCUAUGGGUUGUAAACUUCUUUUAUAUGGGAAUAAAAUGUUCCACGUGUGGGAUUUUGUAUGUACCAGAUGAAUAAGGAUCGGCUAACUCCGUGCCAGCAGCCGCGGUACUACGGAGGAUCCGAGCUUUAUCCGGAUUUAUUGGGUUUAAAGGGAGCGUAGGUGGAUUGUUAAGUCAGUUGUGAAAGUUUGCGGCUCAACCGUAAAAUUGCAGUUGAAACUGGCAGUCUUGAGUACAGUAGAGGUGGGCGGAAUUCGUGGUGUAGCGGUGAAAUGCUUAGAUAUCACGAAGAACUCCGAUUGCGAAGGCAGUUCACUGGACUGCAACUGACACUGAGGCUCGAAAGUGUGGGUAUCAAACAGGAUUAGAUACCCUGGUAGUC
This 460-nucleotide ribosomal RNA is filed under the name uncultured bacterium. RNAcentral's name for it is "partial 16S ribosomal RNA". It matches the Rfam family "Bacterial small subunit ribosomal RNA", at positions 338 to 795 of the family's 1533-position model. The record is from RNAcentral.